This 626-nucleotide small RNA is filed under the name Paraliobacillus sp. PM-2. The record is from RNAcentral. Lineage: Bacteria; Bacillati; Bacillota; Bacilli; Caryophanales; Bacillaceae.
UAAAAUUACAAUGGGAAUGGUGCAGUAUUCUAGUCGGUUCUCCGUUUCUGAAGGCGGGCCUAAAAAUCCGCUAAAGGGCACAUCGAUGAAGUUCCUUGUGUCGGCUUGAGGCGCCCAGCCUUGGGUCGGUGCUGGGAGUUAAGGUUGCAGGGCGAUCCACAAAGGCAUGUGGGCGAUGACCCUGCUUCCGCGGAGGCCCAUCUCUGUGGUAAGUCUUAGCCAAAGCAAUUACCAUGGACUGGGGUAUGAACCUACGUAAUAGGAGCGAGGGAAUCUUAUUCGUAGCGUAGCCUGCCUUGAGUGGUGUUCGAGGGGAUUGUAGUUGUAAAUACAAUACUAGGUGGCCACUGGUAUUUGUGUUUUUAUCUGCAUGAAAUCGGCACUGCAAAAGAGGCUAGGGAGCGGUUAAGAGCUGUUGAGGAAAUCUCCUAGACUGUUCCAGAGGACGUUUAAAGGGGAUUAUAGUACGGACUAAGUGGCAAUCCAGUCUAGCUGUUGGUAACAACGCUAAGAUGCGUUUAAAGGGGAACCGCCAGAAUGGCAACAUUCGGUACGUAUCUGGGAAAACCUACUGGACCUAAGCCGUAGUUUUUACCUUUUAGGCGACCAUUCCACAUACAUAUUUA